RNAcentral lists this ribosomal RNA (460 nucleotides) under uncultured bacterium. RNAcentral describes it as "partial 16S ribosomal RNA". It matches the Rfam family "Bacterial small subunit ribosomal RNA", at positions 338 to 795 of the family's 1533-position model. The record is from RNAcentral.
CCUACGGGUGGCUGCAGUGAGGAAUAUUGGUCAAUGGGCGCGAGCCUGAACCAGCCAAGUAGCGUGAAGGAAGAAUGACCUACGGGUUGUAAACUUCUUUUAUAGAGGAAUAAAGUAAGGCACGUGUGCCUGUUUGUAUGUACUUUAUGAAUAAGGAUCGGCUAACUCCGUGCCAGCAGCCGCGGUAAUACGGAGGAGCCGAGCGUUAUCCGGAUUUAUUGGGUUUAAAGGGAGCGUAGAUGGUUGUUUAAGUCAGCGGUGAAAGUUUGGGGAUCAACCGUAAAAUUGCAAUUGAUACUGGCAGGCUGGAGUACAGUUGAGGUAGGCGGAAUUCGUGGUGUAGCGGUGAAAUGCGUAGAUAUCACGAAGAACUCCGAUUGCGAAGGCAGCUUACUAAACUGCCACUGACAUUGAGGCUCGAAAGCGUGGGGAUCAAACAGGAUUAGAUACCCUUGUAGUC